CAAGUCAGCAGCUCUUGUCGAGGAGGUACAGUAAAGUGGAGCCACAUAGAGGAGUUUUAUAAUAAAGAUCGCGAGAAUCCCAACCGUGUUUGCUCCAGCUUUAACCCAGCACCACUUACAACCAGUACAGAAUGGCAAACAGAAAAUCAAAGAGCGCCUAGCAGAUCAAAUUUUAAGCCAUUCGGUUGCAGUUGGAAUAUUUGCCAAAAUGAAUGAUGACAAGACGCCCCUGGAACAACUGUCGCUGGACAAGCUUUUCGACUGAACGGAGAUUCGACCGACAGGAAAGAGGUAUAAACACUUAUUAUAAUAAUACUUGACAUCUGUAAUUGUGGAUGUGAUCCAAACCCCACGUCGGUCCAAUUAAAAACUAGCUUAGGCAAUUAGUAGCAGCGUUUUUAAUACGCUGAAAUUAUUAUUCUUCGAAGACACUAAACCUAGCUGCGCAACUGAAUAUCCCUGU
This is a long non-coding RNA of Pieris brassicae (large cabbage white), 463 nucleotides long. RefSeq lists it as uncharacterized. The record is from RefSeq and is a predicted model, not a curated record. Lineage: Eukaryota; Metazoa; Arthropoda; Insecta; Lepidoptera; Pieridae. The transcript has 3 exons.